This 71-nucleotide transfer RNA is filed under the name Ictidomys tridecemlineatus (thirteen-lined ground squirrel). RNAcentral describes it as "Spermophilus tridecemlineatus (thirteen-lined ground squirrel) tRNA". It matches the Rfam family "tRNA". Rfam says of the family: Transfer RNA (tRNA) molecules are approximately 80 nucleotides in length. Their secondary structure includes four short double-helical elements and three loops (D, anti-codon, and T loops). Lineage: Eukaryota; Metazoa; Chordata; Mammalia; Rodentia; Sciuridae. The record is from Rfam by way of RNAcentral.
UGGGUUGUGGCUCAGUGGUAGAGCGCUUGCCUAGCAUGCGUGAGGCACUGGGUUCAAUCUCAGCACCACUG